RNAcentral lists this long non-coding RNA (2532 nucleotides) under Priapulus caudatus. RNAcentral describes it as "uncharacterized LOC106814319". The record is from RNAcentral. Lineage: Eukaryota; Metazoa; Priapulida; Priapulimorpha; Priapulimorphida; Priapulidae.
CCAGUUCGACAAAGACGGUAACGUUAAGGCUUGGUGGCACGACGAAGAUGUUGCGAACUUCGUCGAAGAGACUAAGUGCAUGGUCAGCCAGUACGACAACUAUACGAUUCGCGCUAAUGGAAAAGUAUGGCAGCUGAAUGGAACGCAGACGCAGGGAGAGAACAUCGCUGAUAACGGAGGAUCCAAACAAGCGCUGCAGGCGUACAAGAAGUGAGGUAGAGAUGAAAUGGCGAUAAUGAAUACCUAGCGCUGUCCCAGCUCAAGCUCAACGGCAGGAGCAAGGUGUUCUAAUCAUGACAGAAAUCUUUCACGUGGUGCAGUAAGCUAAGGGAGGACUACGCCAUCCGGAGGAUAUUGACGUGGAAACAUGCUGUAGAAAAGUAUAGGGUGAUUGGGCCUCUUUCAAACAGUCCGGAGUUUGCUAAAGCAUUCAACUGUCCUCUCGGAAGUGCAAUGAAUCCAGUACAGAAAUGUAGCGUGUGGUGACCGCGACGCCAUCUACGCAAGCAAUCGCGAUCAUAGCUUACUACACGCCACUGCGACUACCAAAUCUCGCAGUUGUCACUAACAACGAUGACAAGUGCCGAGACGAGACAACGCAGCGACAGGGAACUACCAUAUCUACGUUGAUAAAUGCAAGUCACCCUAACAUAUUUAGCACAAGUUAGUAACGGGACAAGAUGAAUCGGCCAUUUUCGUAUAGACUGGAUCACGCCAUUUUCCGAUGUUAAUUGAAAAGGAAAUGGUUAUCAUAUAAAUGUAUCUUACUGGUCCAACAUUUCUACAACACAAUUCGAUAACUAAGCGUUGCUUAGCUAUUCUUCAACAAAAUUGCCUCGUAAGGUUAAUAUGUCAACAAACAAAAUAAAUGGACGUUAUAAACCGUGAUGUCAGAAUGGUUAGAAAAGCAAACUGAUCAGUGAAGCGGACACACGUCACAGUUGUACGUGUCAUUAAUUGAACAUUCAUUAGUCGUUGCGUAUUUGAGAGGAGAACAAAUUAAAAAGUCAGGAAUCUCGUCUAUAUUGGCAUUGUGAGUGCGCAUCAUAGCCUAGCAUAUAUAGCCAGACCAUAACUUUCGGCUACGAAAUAGAUGCCAGCAGGCUGCAUGAAACGUAGGUAAAUCGCCAUGUACUUUGAAAAUCCUUUGCUUUUUACUUUAGCUAGAAUUUUAAACGUAAGAGUUGGUCAUGUAAGAUGUGCAUACGGUUUGUAGAGCCGUACGGUGGAAAAGUUCAAAGUAUUGCAAAGUUCAUAAUUACACUCACGACUAUAAACAGUAUACGCGUGUUUGGUAGCAAAAGUUUUCUUGAACCCAUAAUGCAAUCCUCAUAAUACUCCCGUAUUACGCGCAAACAGACGAUCUUCACAUUACAGUAACAUUACGAGCAUGAGCCGUAUUUACGUGGACCUCUGUGAAUACGCCUAACAACGGCAUUGUAAAUAGCUAAAUUUACUCAUAUGCACACUUUUCAUACGUUUAAACUUUAAUUAUAUAGCAGUUCGAUUAACUUAAUAAUAUUAUAAUAUACGAUGAUUCGCUUUGAUAUGUUUAUUGUACGCAGCAUCAAUAUGUAAUUAGUAAUUAAUCUACUAAUUAUGAUUUAUAUAGUCAAACCGAAAACCAAGAGUUAAAAAUAAAUGUAUUAUUUUAUAGCUGUUAGUUUGACUAUAGCGUUGCACUAAUAAGUCAAUUUGGGCAAAUUGUUAUAUCGCACGUGACUUCCUGUCAAAUCAAACGAGCAAGUUUAAAAUAUUUCUAACAAAUGAUAUAAGUAGUUAAAAUAAUAGCAUAUAUUAUACUCACCUCGUCAUUUAUUUAUUUACUUAUUUAUUUAUUUAUUUUAAUGUUAAAUAAUUACCUAUUAUUGUUGUUAUUAUAUGUAAAUGUAGUUUAUUUACCCAUUCAUGCAGCUAUCGCAUUGCUCCUAUAUCGCUAUGUAGGAAGUUUAUAUAAUGUAGCACCGUUUCCAAAUGUCUAAGUCUAAUAGUCAGUCAUGCAGCUGCGUAUAAUUAGAUUUACCUGCAUUCUUGGAGCAGGUGCGAACGGCAAUUAAGCCAACACGCGACUCGCACGUGUCGAGGCUGUAAGUACCUGUGCAGAUAUAUGUGUUAAUUACGUUCAUUUAAAAACAUGUAUUAGUUUACCUGAAUAUUAGCGCGUUCUCGGUUGUAAUAAAAAUAUGUGUGUCAAUAUAUCGUUAAUCGUGGUUCAUUUAACCAUCUAUGUAUGUAUGCGAGACUUGCUGUCUUCUGCAUGAUCAGUUGAUGUAUACUAGUUACGACGUCUGAUACUUGGUUUACUCUCAUGUGUGUAUUUAGGCGGAUUAUUGUGUCUUGUCGGGAGUGUGUACUGUACAAUUCUCUAUAUACAUACACUUUACUGACGUUACGUAAGUUGUUUCGUUUUUACUUUGUAGCGUCGUCAUUGCGCAAACAAAUCCCGUAUUGACACAUGUAUCAUGUUUUAGAUUUAUAUGUGUAACAGGGUAGUAUAUAGUCAAAGAAUGAUAUAAAUGUGUUGUGAAAAUA